GGAGGGGUGGCAGAGUGGUCGAAUGCGGCGGUCUUGAAAACCGUUAUGGCGCGAGCCAUCGGGGGUUCGAAUCCCUCCCCCUCCGCCA
This 88-nucleotide transfer RNA is filed under the name Acidobacteriota bacterium. RNAcentral's name for it is "Acidobacteria bacterium tRNA-Ser". It matches the Rfam family "tRNA". Rfam says of the family: Transfer RNA (tRNA) molecules are approximately 80 nucleotides in length. Their secondary structure includes four short double-helical elements and three loops (D, anti-codon, and T loops). Further hydrogen bonds mediate the characteristic L-shaped molecular structure. tRNAs have two regions of fundamental functional importance: the anti-codon, which is responsible for specific mRNA codon recognition, and the 3' end, to which the tRNAs corresponding amino acid is attached (by aminoacyl-tRNA synthetases). tRNAs cope with the degeneracy of the genetic code in two manners: having more than one tRNA (with a specific anti-codon) for a particular amino acid; and 'wobble' base-pairing, i.e. permitting non-standard base-pairing at the 3rd anti-codon position. The record is from RNAcentral. Lineage: Bacteria; Pseudomonadati; Acidobacteriota.